RNAcentral lists this ribosomal RNA (600 nucleotides) under uncultured Streptomyces sp. RNAcentral's name for it is "bacterial SSU rRNA". It matches the Rfam family "Bacterial small subunit ribosomal RNA", at positions 22 to 635 of the family's 1533-position model. The record is from RNAcentral. Lineage: Bacteria; Bacillati; Actinomycetota; Actinomycetes; Kitasatosporales; Streptomycetaceae.
GCUCAGGACGAACGCUGGCGGCGUGCUUAACACAUGCAAGUCGAACGAUGAACCUCCUUCGGGAGGGGAUUAGUGGCGAACGGGUGAGUAACACGUGGGCAAUCUGCCCUUCACUCUGGGACAAGCCCUGGAAACGGGGUCUAAUACCGGAUACUGACUACCGACCGCAUGGUCUGGUGGUGGAAAGCUCCGGCGGUGAAGGAUGAGCCCGCGGCCUAUCAGCUUGUUGGUGGGGUGAUGGCCUACCAAGGCGACGACGGGUAGCCGGCCUGAGAGGGCGACCGGCCACACUGGGACUGAGACACGGCCCAGACUCCUACGGGAGGCAGCAGUGGGGAAUAUUGCACAAUGGGCGAAAGCCUGAUGCAGCGACGCCGCGUGAGGGAUGACGGCCUUCGGGUUGUAAACCUCUUUCAGCAGGGAAGAAGCGAGAGUGACGGUACCUGCAGAAGAAGCGCCGGCUAACUACGUGCCAGCAGCCGCGGUAAUACGUAGGGCGCAAGCGUUGUCCGGAAUUACUGGGCGUAAAGAGCUCGUAGGCGGCUUGUCACGUCGGAUGUGAAAGCCCGGGGCUUAACCCCGGGUCUGCAUUCGAUACGG